UACAGAGGGGGCAAGCGUUGUUCGGAAUUACUGGGCGUAAAGGGCGCGUAGGUGGCCUUCUAAGUUGAACGUGAAAUCCCUGGGCUCAACCCAGGAACUGCGUCCAAGACUGGGAGGCUUGAAUCCGGGAGAGGGAUGCGGAAUUCCAGGUGUAGCGGUGAAAUGCGUAGAUAUCUUGAGGAACACCGGUGGCGAAGGCGGCAUCCUGGACCGGUAUUGACACUGAGGCGCGAAAGCCAGGGGAGCAAACGGG
RNAcentral lists this ribosomal RNA (253 nucleotides) under uncultured bacterium. Its description in RNAcentral is "partial 16S ribosomal RNA". It matches the Rfam family "Bacterial small subunit ribosomal RNA", at positions 524 to 776 of the family's 1533-position model. The record is from RNAcentral.